RNAcentral lists this long non-coding RNA (669 nucleotides) under Equus asinus (donkey). RNAcentral describes it as "lncRNA (ENSEASG00005031705.1)". Lineage: Eukaryota; Metazoa; Chordata; Mammalia; Perissodactyla; Equidae. The record is from RNAcentral.
CCCACUUCAACUUCUCCAAACAUCAAUUUCUCCUUGUGAAAAUAGAGAUAUGAGACCUAGUCUGCAGUGGACCCAUCUUAGCUGCUUUUUGCUGCUCUGUCCAUGGAUGCAUUUGAAGAGUUCAAUGUUAAAAAAGGAAAUGGUUCAAUGAUACAAAUGUUGAAUGGUGAGCAUAUUUUUGCUGAAAAUUUUGCGGCUCCUGAAAAAGCACCCCUCGCUAGUUAAAGGAAUUCUGAAGGAAGAGCCAUAAGGACCUACAGUUACACGAGGGCAAGCUCUUCCAUGGCGGAUGGCAGAGGGCAAGAGGCCAAGCCAAAACACACAAGCGCGUUUCAAGCCCCUGGCUGGACCAGACCUAAAGUGUCUGCUCAUAUACCGUCAGCCAGAGGAUACCAGCCACUGCCUAUCCUGAGCACCGUCCGAGAUACUUUAAGAAGAGAACUCCUCCGUGUUAGCCUUCCAGCGGAAGGUGGCCAGGACUGAUGGCGAGACCGACGAGCCUCAACAUCACUUUUUGUCCUUACUCUUUACGUUCUCCUCUCCACGCCCACUGCCUCUGCCUUCCUGCAGCCUUCUAACGAGCCUCCACUUCUCUGGCCCCUCCCUUGUCUUGUCCCCACACUGCUUCUCAUUAUUUUCUUAUGAAAGAGCUCACAACCUCGCUUGCUC